GAUGAACGCUGGCGGCGUGCCUAAUACAUGCAAGUCGAGCGAACAGACGAGGAGCUUGCUCCUCUGACGUUAGCGGCGGGCGGGUGAGUAACACGUGGAUAACCUACCUAUAAGACUGGGAUAACUUCGGGAAACCGGAGCUAAUACCGGAUAAUAUAUUGAACCGCAUGGUUCAAUAGUGAAAGACGGUUUUGCUGUCACUUAUAGAUGGAUCCGCGCCGCAUUAGCUAGUUGGUAAGGUAACGGCUUACCAAGGCAACGAUGCGUAGCCGACCUGAGAGGGUGAUCGGCCACACUGGAACUGAGACACGGUCCAGACUCCUACGGGAGGCAGCAGUAGGGAAUCUUCCGCAAUGGGCGAAAGCCUGACGGAGCAACGCCGCGUGAGUGAUGAAGGUCUUCGGAUCGUAAAACUCUGUUAUUAGGGAAGAACAAAUGUGUAAGUAACUAUGCACGUCUUGACGGUACCUAAUCAGAAAGCCACGGCUAACUACGU
This 496-nucleotide ribosomal RNA is filed under the name uncultured bacterium. RNAcentral describes it as "partial 16S ribosomal RNA". It matches the Rfam family "Bacterial small subunit ribosomal RNA", at positions 28 to 506 of the family's 1533-position model. The record is from RNAcentral.